RNAcentral lists this ribosomal RNA (557 nucleotides) under Scaphiophryne marmorata (marbled rain frog). Its description in RNAcentral is "partial 16S ribosomal RNA". It matches the Rfam family "Bacterial large subunit ribosomal RNA", at positions 1817 to 2597 of the family's 2925-position model. The record is from RNAcentral. Lineage: Eukaryota; Metazoa; Chordata; Amphibia; Anura; Microhylidae.
CGCCUCCUGAAAUAACUAUAGGAGGUCCAGCCUGCCCAGUGACAAAGUUAAACGGCCGCGGUACCCUAACCGUGCGAAGGUAGCGCAAUCACUUGUUCUUUAAAUGAGGACUAGUAUGAAUGGCAUCACGAGGGUUAUACUGUCUCCCUCUUUCAAUCAGUGAAACUGAUCUUCCCGUGAAGAAGCGGGAAUACAUCUAUAAGACGAGAAGACCCCAUGGAGCUUAAAACUCAGUAUCAACUACUAUACUAAUUUAUCCUCUUAAUUAAGCAGAUCUGACUACUAGUUUUCGGUUGGGGUGACCGCGGAGCAAAACAAAACCUCCACGAUGAAAGGAACUAACCUCCUAAUCAAAGAGCUACCUCUCUAAGAAUCAACAAAUUGACAUUUAUUGAUCCAACUUUUUUGAUCAACGAACCAAGUUACCCUGGGGAUAACAGCGCAAUCCAUUUCAAGAGCCCCUAUCGACAAAUGGGUUUACGACCUCGAUGUUGGAUCAGGGUAUCCCAGUGGUGCAGCCGCUACUAAAGGUUCGUUUGUUCAACGAUUAAAACCCU